RNAcentral lists this long non-coding RNA (1501 nucleotides) under Oryzias sinensis (Chinese medaka). RNAcentral's name for it is "lncRNA (ENSOSIG00000021241.1)". Lineage: Eukaryota; Metazoa; Chordata; Actinopteri; Beloniformes; Adrianichthyidae. The record is from RNAcentral.
CUGAAUCAUUGUUUUUUUCAAUUUAACAAAGAAAUGUUUUGAAAUACAAACAAGUACAAACAGUAAAAAUGUAUAUAAGAUUUUUUUUUCUAUAUAUAUAUAGUGUGGAAUUGAAUUGAUCAACAUGUAGAUCUCAAACAGAUUUUGCGUUUUGGGCUUCAGGACUAUUGAUACAUCAUGAAUUAGACCUCUCUUCUUCUACUUCCCGGCAGAUUCGUCAAGGUUUCAUAACGAAUUUCUUAUUAUUGUUAAUAAAAUUCAAAAUAAAAGUAUGGAACUGUGAACAACACAGUAACAAUACUAAUAAAUGGAUGAUCAGAAAUAGAAAUGUAACCAAAAUCAGCUCUAAAAGAAAAAUGCAACAAUCUGUUUUUAUUAUGUUCUACAGGUGAGCUAGACUUACGUGUUGCUGCUUGUUCUUCAGUUUUCAGGCAGAACCAUGACUUAAUACUGCUGCGGUUCUAUCAUGCGAAACAUUAACCUGAGAAAUGUACAUAAAAUAAACGUUUUGAUUACGACGACAUCUACAGUGCGAGUACGUCUGAUCCUUUGUAAUAGAUAAUUUAUUUUUAAACUGUUACAGUCGAACAACUGAAGUGUUUUUUUAGUGAAAGACAAGCAGCAACAUCUGACAAUGUUGUUAGUUUCGCUAAAAGCUAACUCUCUUGUUUCCUGUUGAGCUUUUCAAAAUACAACAUCUACUUUUUCGACUCAAUGGUUUCGAUCAAAUUAAGCAAAAAAUGUAUUGCCUAAUUUCCUUUUUCCAACGAUAAUUGAUAAGCCGGAAGCUAUUACAGUUUUCCUGAGUUUUUUUUAUGUGACUAGCUAAAAUUAAAAGAGUUUAAAACUGUGUGUUUUACCUCUUCGCUGCAAGAUAACAUAGAUGAAAGCACAGAUAAAUCACAAUAAAAUUAAAUGUGAUUUAAAAUAUGUUAAGGAAAAAAACAUCAGUUAAAUGUAGUCAAAUAAUUCAAAUAGAUUAAUUCCAUAGCCGUAUGAGUUCACAUUGAUUAAAAGAAAAUGAAAUCGAAUUGUCAUUUGACAGUUUAUUUUGAAGCGAAAAGAUUUAACCGGAACUUGUUAUUGACGUAGGCGAGUUGAGGGGUGACAGCCGGCAGGAGAGCCAAUCACAAUCAGCUUUUGGCAAGCACGUGAAGAAUUGAUUGGAGGCGACUGUCCUUACCUGGCAGAGAUAUGGAAAGUGAGUUGGACAUUGUAAGAUUGUGAAAAAAAAACUGUUGAACAUAAACAUUUUUAAAUGGUAUCAACUAUUUAUUCAAAUAAGGUAUUUGUCUAUAUCAGAAGAAGCCUUCAAGAAGUUGCUUUAGGCUAUUCUAUAUACUAAUUUGCAACUUGAGCAACUAUUUUCUAAAAUCUCUUUUAGUUCUUUGUCAUUGCCUUGAAAAAAGAGCAAGUAUAUUCUGCUUAUUAAUAAUAAUAAUAAAAAAUAAUAGUAAUAUUGCAUAUAUGUAGUUUAUCUGUAACUGUAUAAAGUCUCAUA